This 400-nucleotide unclassified non-coding RNA is filed under the name uncultured fungus. RNAcentral describes it as "sequence contains ITS1". Lineage: Eukaryota; Fungi. The record is from RNAcentral.
CACCGUCAAUUCAUUUGAGUUUCACCCUUGCGGGCGUACUCCCCAGGUGGAAUACUUAACGCUUUCGCUUUGACGCUAACUGUAUAUCGCUAACAUCGAGUAUUCAUCGUUUAGGGCGUGGACUACCAGGGUAUCUAAUCCUGUUUGAUCCCCACGCUUUCGUGCCUCAGCGUCAUUAACACCUUAGUAAGCUGCCUUCGCAAUUGGUGUUCUGUGACAUAUCUAUGCAUUUCACCGCUACUUGUCACAUUCCGCCUACCUCAAGUGUAAUCAAGCCUAUCAGUAUCAAAGGCACUGCGAUGGUUGAGCCACCGUCUUUCACCCCUGACUUAAUAGGCCGCCUACGCACCCUUUAAACCCAAUAAAUCCGGAUAACGCUUGGAUCCUCCGUAUUACCGCG